Molecule: long non-coding RNA, 3230 nt
Organism: Columba livia (rock pigeon)
Lineage: Eukaryota; Metazoa; Chordata; Aves; Columbiformes; Columbidae
Exons: 2
Source: RefSeq, a predicted model, not a curated record
CUCCAUCCCAUCAUUAUCUCAGGAACGCUAUUAUAAGAAACCCAGGUUUACUGUACCGAGCUCACUGUUCUAAAAAUAAGUGUCUAAUCUGAGUAUUUGUGAGCUGAUAUCACACCUCGUGUAGCUCCGUGAUCGGAGGCUAAUAGAGCUAAUAAUUUCUAAUCAGCUAAUAAAUUUUUCCCCACAAUUGCAAUCACUUUUAGUACUGAGCAUUUUAUUGAUAGGAGAACAUUUCCUCAGAUAACGCGCUGCCCGUCUCACUCUCUGUCCUGGUUUUGUUAAAAACAAGACCGGUUCUCUUUCAGUGAUUUCUCUUUCAGCUCAGUUCUUUAGCUGGCUGUACUUCUCUGAGUUUUAGCUGCAUAUUUUUCCUCAGAUGCUGCACUCGGUGCUGAUAAGAGACCAAGGGAAUGCUGAAGAAGCUCGUGUUUAGAUCUAUGACUAUGGUAGCCAAGAAAGACUGAUAAGUUUUCCCCCGUUCCGUUGUGAGGGGGCGUUUGAGGAGGGUGGAUGAACAGGUGACUAGAACUGACCAGCGGAAGUUUUCCAUCCCAUAAUCGCCAUACCCCUAUGUAAGAGGGCGAUCACAGGGUCACGCUCUCUCGGCCCACGGCCGGCAUCCAGAGGCCCCGUCUGUCUGUCUGUCUGUGAUCCCCAGCCCUCAGGCCCCGCAUCCUGCAGCCAGGCUCCGCUUUGCUGGGCAGUCCCGCCCGGGACUCCCGGGGCCGGAGCUGCAGCUGCUGGAGCCGCCAGCCCCGCAGCCCCAGCUCUGCUGCGCAGUGACGCAGCUCCGCACCCAGCGCCUGAGACCGGCUUGAUUUUAAAAGAUGGGAAAGACCUAUUGUCGGGGAACACAAACCUCAGGAGACACACGUUGAGUUCUGUUCAUUCAGGAGAGCGGAGAGAAUGUUGGAUUACUACACUCCAUUCAAAUGAAUCGGCAUUCCCUGGUAAAUGGCUCACAGGACUGCAGUAUUAAAAGGGGACAACUCACCCCUCAUUCUGUUUUCUUCAACAAGAAAUCUGCACACGAAUGAGAAAAAUAAUGCCAAAAGCGUCUUUGAGAGUUUCAUUAUUGUAGAUACUUUCCUUAAAAGCUUAGGGUUUGGAAUCAUCUGAAUCAUUCUUUCUUUUAUAGCAAAUUUCUGGCCUCUGCGUUUGGAGAGUGUGGCUUAAUAUGAAACCUUUCAGGUGGAAAACAGGGUUACGUCUCUAAAUUCACUUAAAUUCCUCCUUAAAUCUACUUCUUUCAUGAUAUAUCCAGAAAACAGAACUCCAUGGAGAUUAAGAAGCCAUUAACCCUUCUUUUUUUUAGAGUUAGGGAACCAACACAUUAAUGCCAAAGCUGACCCAAGUGCAGCACAGGAGAGCUAGGAACCAACUCUCUGAAUCUCAACAAUCGUAACCAUAUGGCUGCCCAUUUUAUCAUCAUUAAGACACAUAUGGCAUGCCUCUUGUAUGGACUAGCUAGGCCAAGGAACAAUGUCUUUAGUAACUGAAAAUAAUCUCAGGAUGUCUCGCUUUCCCCGCCAAGAAAACACGUGCACCAAGGCCACACGGGGACAUCUUCCCAGACACAGGCUCCAACGUGAGGCGGCCACUUCAAUGGCAAGUUCAACCAAAGGUAUAUGACUGAAUAAAUUAUGUACUUUUCCUCAUAUAACAUAAAAAUACCAGUUUUGAAUGGAACUAUGACAUCUACCAGCCCAAGGAACUGGAAGUACCUGGGAACUAGAAGUAAUCAGGUCAAUUCACAGCCUAACAACAGCAUCUUCUUGUUUUAAUAAAUUGGUCUUGAAUGCAAAAAGGUCUUGAUAAACUUUUUCUAACCCCUCCCCAGCAGACGUGCUAAUGAUGUUAUUUAAUGAAUAGGAAACCCCUUUAAUUCUGUUUUCUACCAAAAUCGUAUCUGACAGAAUAAUGAAUCUAUAUUCAUUUAGGAAAAAAAAGUUUCAUUCUCUAUAUACCAAUGUAAUCAAAGUCUAAUAUAUAUUUAUCUAGAGCAACAUUUAAUUAUGUAUGCAACAAUAGCUAUUUAAUCAACCAUACUUUAUGAAACAGAUAAACAUAAAUAUAAACCAGCAGCAUAAUGAAUUCUUUCAAUAAGGUUUUUCUGCUUGCAGAGCUAAUGUUGCAGUUCUUACAUUUUUAUCUGGAGUAAUCCACCCACUUUCAUGAGAAAUGUAAAGCGGGCACUUUGUAGGCGAUAUAAAUCCUCCAUUUAAUUCUCUGCGCACUGUAAGUUUUGAGAGGGGGUAACAACAAGCAGCACGUGUGACGCCAGCUCAGCGACAACGAAUGAACCAAGGAACGCUUCUCCAAAACGCAAGAGUAAAAUGCUACACAUUUGCGCUUUGUCCAUCUACUCCUGCCUGAAUCCAUACAGUAUUUUAAACGCUCCGUCCACCCAACGAUUAAUGGCUGAUCGCUCUCUCUUUGCUGUGAUAUUGGAGUUCUACCAGGGCAAGCGGAGUGGGCUGGCCAAAAAGCCUGGAGGGGAAAAUUAAAUCCCCUUCUUAAGCAGCAGACUAGCAGUCUCCUCCAACAAAAGCUCUCCUUCCCUUGCUGGGAAUGCGAUUCAUUUUCCUCUAAAGCAGAGGGCCGGGAUUUCAAUGCAGAGAGACAGCCAUUACUGUGACAUUUCACAAGCCUGAAACCUUUCUUGCUAACCUAGAUCUGCCUCGGGGCUAUCAGAGACAAAAGAAGCCUUCUCCUCCAGCAAGCAUCAAAGACCUCUGGAAAAGCCAAGAGCGAGGGGGCAGGCAGCUUCUGUGGCACCAAUGCAAAAUAUAAAUAUAAUACAUGCAAAUUUGAGGCACGCAAAAAAUCACGGGACAUCGCUUGUGUGUACAGUUGUACUCAUAAAACCUGUAAUGCACUUUUUGAAUUAUUCAGCAAGAAGAGGCUGAAAAGCAGCAAAGAAGCUUAUUAUGUUUGCUUUGCUUCAUAGACUAUUAGGUGGACAAAAAGAAAAAGGAAUUUAGUUACGCUUGCUUAUCUCCUAACCUUAUAAACUUGGGAUUAACAGAUCAAAGGAGGAUUUGGUUCAGUUGAUAGAAAAUGGAGCUCUUUUAUAGCUGUUUGGUCUCCCUGUCCCUUAUGAUCAAAUAAGCUUAAGCAAUUGAUAAAAUAAAUGGAGGUUUGAAUUCAUGUGAUUUAGUAUACACAUUUAAUAUUUGUUGUAUUGCAUUGUACGUUUGUAUGUGAAAUUAAAUAACAAGAAGAUUAAA